UGGCGACCGGCGCACGGGUGCGUAACGCGUAUGUAACCUACCUAUAACAGGGGCAUAACACUGAGAAAUUGGUACUAAUUCCCCAUAAUAUUCGGAGAGGCAUCUCUCCGGGUUGAAAAACUCCGGUGGUAUGAGAUGGACCCGCGUCUGAUUAGCUAGUUGGUGGGGUAACGGCCUACCAAGGCGACGAUCAGUAGCCGACCUGAGAGGGUGACCGGCCACAUUGGGACUGAGACACGGCCCAAACUCCUACGGGAGGCAGCAUG
RNAcentral lists this ribosomal RNA (266 nucleotides) under uncultured bacterium. RNAcentral's name for it is "partial 16S ribosomal RNA". It matches the Rfam family "Bacterial small subunit ribosomal RNA", at positions 89 to 353 of the family's 1533-position model. The record is from RNAcentral.